ACGCCUUGCCUUGGAUUCAUUUUCAGG
Molecule: small RNA, 27 nt
Filed under: Bombyx mori (domestic silkworm)
Lineage: Eukaryota; Metazoa; Arthropoda; Insecta; Lepidoptera; Bombycidae
Description: ovarian small RNA-11507
Source: RNAcentral